GUCACAAUAGCGCAGCGGUUAGCGCAAUCGUCCCUUUAACGAGAGGCUGGUGAGUUCGAAUCUCACCUUGUGACA
Non-coding RNA from Albula goreensis, 75 nucleotides. The record is from the annotation of a GenBank genome assembly. NCBI's taxonomy places the organism in Eukaryota, Metazoa, Chordata, Actinopteri, Albuliformes, Albulidae.